GCCUGGCAUGGUGGCAUGUGCCUGUAGUCCCAGCUACUAGAGAGGCUGAGGCUGGAGGAUCACUUGAGCCCAGGAGUUCUGGGCUGUAGUGCGCUAUGCCGAUCGGGUGUCCGCACUAAGUUCGGCAUCAAUAUGGUGACCUCCCGGGAGCGGGGGACCACCAGGUUACCUAAGGAGGGGUGAACUGGCCCAGGUCAGAAACGGAGCAGGUCAAAACUCCCGUGCUGAUCAGUAGUGGGAUCAUGCCUGUGAAUAGCCAGUGCACUCCAGCCUGAGCAACAUAGCAAGACCCCCAUCCUUA
RNAcentral lists this signal recognition particle RNA (301 nucleotides) under Aotus nancymaae (Ma's night monkey). RNAcentral's name for it is "Metazoan signal recognition particle RNA (ENSANAG00000008267.1)". It matches the Rfam family "Metazoan signal recognition particle RNA". Rfam says of the family: The signal recognition particle (SRP) is a universally conserved ribonucleoprotein. It is involved in the co-translational targeting of proteins to membranes. The record is from RNAcentral. Lineage: Eukaryota; Metazoa; Chordata; Mammalia; Primates; Aotidae.